RNAcentral lists this transfer RNA (77 nucleotides) under Acidobacteriota bacterium. RNAcentral describes it as "Acidobacteria bacterium tRNA-Arg". It matches the Rfam family "tRNA". Rfam says of the family: Transfer RNA (tRNA) molecules are approximately 80 nucleotides in length. Their secondary structure includes four short double-helical elements and three loops (D, anti-codon, and T loops). Lineage: Bacteria; Pseudomonadati; Acidobacteriota. The record is from RNAcentral.
GCGCCCGUAGCUCAGUUGGAUAGAGCGUCUGGCUUCGAACCAGAGGGUCGGGAGUUCAAGUCUCUCCGGGCGCGCCA